Molecule: ribosomal RNA, 403 nt
Filed under: uncultured Oscillibacter sp.
Lineage: Bacteria; Bacillati; Bacillota; Clostridia; Eubacteriales; Oscillospiraceae
Description: bacterial SSU rRNA
Rfam family: Bacterial small subunit ribosomal RNA
Source: RNAcentral
GGGGAAUAUUGGGCAAUGGACGCAAGUCUGACCCAGCAACGCCGCGUGAAGGAAGAGGGCUUUCGGGUUGUAAACCUCUUUUAAGGGGGAAGUUUUGCUGACGGUACCCCCUGAAUACGCCACGGCUACCUACUUCCCAGCAGCCGCGGUAAUACGUAGGUGGCAAGCGUUGUCCGGAUUUACUGGGUGUAAAGGGCGUGUAGCCGGGAAGGUAAGUCAGAUGUGAAAUCUGGGGGCUCAACCUCCAAACUGCAUUUGAAACUACUUUUCUUGAGUAUCGGAGAGGUAAUCGGAAUUCCUUGUGUAGCGGUGAAAUGCGUAGAUAUAAGGAAGAACAACAGUGGCGAAGGCGGAUUACUGGACGACAACUGACGGUGAGGCGCGAGAGCGUGGGGAGCAAACA